RNAcentral lists this ribosomal RNA (305 nucleotides) under uncultured bacterium. Its description in RNAcentral is "bacterial SSU rRNA". It matches the Rfam family "Bacterial small subunit ribosomal RNA", at positions 337 to 644 of the family's 1533-position model. The record is from RNAcentral.
GCCUACGGGACGCAGCAGUGGGGAAUAUUGCACAAUGGGGGAAACCCUGAUGCAGCGACGCCGCGUGAGUGAAGAAGUAUCUCGGUACGUAAAGCUCUAUCAGCAGGGAAGAAAAAAAGUCUUUGGCUUUGGACGGUACCUGACUAAGAAGCCCCGGCUAACUACGUGCCAGCAGCCGCGGUAAUACGUAGGGGGCAAGCGUUAUCCGGAUUUACUGGGUGUAAAGGGAGCGUAGACGGCCAUGCAAGCCAGGGGUGAAAGCCCGGGGCCCAACCCCGGGACUGCCCUUGGAACUGCAUGGCUGG